Molecule: ribosomal RNA, 253 nt
Filed under: uncultured bacterium
Lineage: Bacteria
Description: partial 16S ribosomal RNA
Rfam family: Bacterial small subunit ribosomal RNA
Source: RNAcentral
UACGUAGGGUCCGAGCGUUGUCCGGAAUUACUGGGCGUAAAGCGCGCGCAGGCGGUCUUCCAAGUCAGUGGUGAAAGCCUGGAGCUCAACUCCAGAACUGCCAUUGAAACUGUUAGACUUGAGUACGAGAGAGGUGAGUGGAAUUCCCAGUGUAGAGGUGAAAUUCGUAGAUAUUGGGAAGAACACCGGUGGCGAAGGUGGCUCACUGGCUCGUAACUGACGCUCAGGCGCGACAGCGUGGGGAUCAAACAGG